RNAcentral lists this ribosomal RNA (1620 nucleotides) under Triticum aestivum (bread wheat). RNAcentral's name for it is "partial small subunit ribosomal RNA". Lineage: Eukaryota; Viridiplantae; Streptophyta; Magnoliopsida; Poales; Poaceae. The record is from RNAcentral.
AUGUUGCACACUUGUACCUCAUGGAAGCCUCAAGCGUGGAAGCCAGCGCAUAUUUCACACGCAUUCGGGCAUGAGACGAGGAAAAGCUCACAGCAGCAAACCGAUGCUCCAGCAAGCGUGCCAGCUCACCAAGCUUGCCUUCACUCCAUCACUCAUCGCCGAGAGAAGAUAAGGAAGAGGUUGAGAAGGCAAGGUGUGAAGGGUCCCAAGCCUACUUUGCUCGAUGGGAACACCAAAGAGAUGAAGCGUAUCCGACAUGAGCUCAAGCCUAUGAAGAAGCAAGACAGCAACAACUACAUCUCCACCCUCUUCCCUCACAUCCUUGUGUGGAAGGAAACUUAUGGCUCUGUGUUCCUUUACUCGUCAGGAGGUCGGGAGAUAUUGCACGUUUCUCAGCCAGAUAUGGUGAAGGACAUAGGCCACUGGACACCAUCAGAGCUUGGGAAGCCUAAUUAUCUGAAGAAAACUCGAAAAGCCCUCCUUGGGGGAGGGUUAUUUACGGUGAAUGGUGAUGAAUGGGCCUAUCAGAGGAAGACCAUGGCACCGGAGUUCUUCAUGGACAAGAUUAAGGGUAUGAUACAGCUGAUUGAAGAUGCAACUGCUCCGCUGUUAGAAGCAUGGGAUAACAUUCUCGACAGUGCAGGAGGUAGCACAGAGAUAGUUGUCGAUGAUUAUGUGCGGAACAUCUCAGCAGAUGUAAUCGCCAGGGCUUGCUUCGGGAGUAGCUUCGCAAAAGGAGAAGAGAUAUUCUGCAUGCUCAGGAAGCUUCAAAAGGCGAUUUCUCAACAGGAUGCAUUUGUUGGACUCUCUGCACUGUGGAAGCAUCUGCCUACCAAGAGCAACCGAGAGAUACGGAAUCUGGUUGAGAGAGUCAGGCUACUGAUCUUGGAACUGGCAAAGGACAACGUGAACGAGAAUGGAGCUGAGAAUGUGGCAACUCAUAACGGUCUUCUGCGUGCGAUCAUCAAAGGCUCCCAUGGUGGUGGCCAUGGGGGCACUGCCGAGGACUUCAUCGUUGGCAACUGCAAGACCAUAUACUUUGCAGGGCACGAGAGCACGGCGGUCACCGCCAUUUGGUGCCUGAUGUUACUGGCCAAACACCCGGAGUGGCAGGAGCGCGCCCGCGUCGAUGUGCUGGAGGUUUGCCAUGCGAGGAGCACGUUGGACGUCGACGCCCUCCACCGACUGAAAAUUCUGACGAUGGUGAUCCAAGAAACUCUCCGUCUGUACCCACCGGCGUCGCUGAUGAUGCGUGAAGCCCUGACGGACAUAAAGAUUGGCGACCUGGAUGUGCCCCGUGGAACGAUCGUCCAGGUGACCAGAUCGAUGCUGCACCUGGACAAGGAAGCCUGGGGCCCCGACGCCGACGAGUUCCGCCCGGGCCGGUUCGCCAAUGGUGUGGCCGGGGCGUGCAAGCCGGCGCACAUGUACACGCCAUUUGGGCUCGGCUCCAGGACCUGCAUCGGGCAGAACCUGGCGAUGACGGAGCUGAAGGUGGUGCUGGCGCGCCUGCUGAGCAGGUUCGCCUUCUCGCUGUCGCCGACGUACCGCCACGCGCCGGUGUUCCGGCUGACCAUCGAGCCAGAGUUCGGCAUGCCAUUGGUGGUGAAGAAGCUGUGA